Non-coding RNA from Pelobates cultripes (western spadefoot toad), 354 nucleotides. The record is from the annotation of a GenBank genome assembly. NCBI's taxonomy places the organism in Eukaryota, Metazoa, Chordata, Amphibia, Anura, Pelobatidae.
CUUAGCUUUCCCAGCCGACCCUGUUCCUCCCAUUCUUUUUAUUGAGAACACAAGGCCCAGCAUGUGUUUAAGGGAACUAUAGUUCAGCACCAGUUCAAUGAGAUUUCCUCUUUCUAUUUUUACUUUUUCUAUGAAUAAAACUAAUUCCACCCAUUAUAGAAUAGGAAAUAUUUAUAAAUUGCAACAACUAUAAUUUACACAAUGAAUGGAGGCAGGGAACUUGUUUCAUAACAUAUAGCGCUUUGUGUGAGGGGGUGCUGUAAAAACUGCACCUGUGAUGUCAUACUUCUCAGUGUUAAAAGGUCGCUUCAAGUACCAUAAAAACUUACGCUUCUGACCUACGUUAUGGUACAG